AACGAACGCUGGCGGCGCGCCUAAUACAUGCAAGUCGAGCGAGAAGACGUAGCAAUACGUUUGUAAAGCGGCGAACGGGUGAGGAAUACAUGGGUAACCUACCCUAGAGUGGGGAAUAACUAGCCGAAAGGUUAGCUAAUACCGCGUACGCUCCUUGGACUUCGGUUCAGGGAGGAAAGCGAUACCGUGGGUAUCGCGCUCUUGGAUGGGCUCAUGUCCUACCAGCUUGUUGGNGAGGUACG
Molecule: ribosomal RNA, 242 nt
Filed under: uncultured bacterium
Lineage: Bacteria
Description: partial 16S ribosomal RNA
Rfam family: Bacterial small subunit ribosomal RNA
Source: RNAcentral